UCGGGGGGACGAGGGUGGUUCGCCACUCGCGACGUCUUGAGAAGUCCAUUGAACCUUAUCAUUUAGAGGAAGGAGAAGUCGUAACAAGGUUUCCGUAGGUGAACCUGCGGAAGGAUCAUUG
This 121-nucleotide ribosomal RNA is filed under the name Meistera koenigii. RNAcentral's name for it is "partial 18S ribosomal RNA". It matches the Rfam family "Eukaryotic small subunit ribosomal RNA", at positions 1715 to 1831 of the family's 1831-position model. RNAcentral also lists the same sequence under 6 other names. Lineage: Eukaryota; Viridiplantae; Streptophyta; Magnoliopsida; Zingiberales; Zingiberaceae. The record is from RNAcentral.